RNAcentral lists this ribosomal RNA (252 nucleotides) under uncultured bacterium. Its description in RNAcentral is "partial 16S ribosomal RNA". It matches the Rfam family "Bacterial small subunit ribosomal RNA", at positions 524 to 776 of the family's 1533-position model. The record is from RNAcentral.
UACGUAGGGGGCAAGCGUUGUCCGGAAUCAUUGGGCGUAAAGCGCGUGUAGGCGGCUUGGUAGUCCGCUCUGAAAGCCCGGGGCUCAACCCCGGGAGGCGGGUGGAUACUGUCAAGCUCGAGUCCGGAAGAGGCGAGUGGAAUUCCUGGUGUAGCGGUGAAAUGCGCAGAUAUCAGGAGGAACACCAAUGGCGAAGGCAGCUCGCUGGGACGUGACUGACGCUGAGACGCGAAAGCGUGGGGAGCAAACAGG